RNAcentral lists this unclassified non-coding RNA (539 nucleotides) under Hevea brasiliensis (rubber tree). The record is from RNAcentral. Lineage: Eukaryota; Viridiplantae; Streptophyta; Magnoliopsida; Malpighiales; Euphorbiaceae.
CAGAGGUUAUAUUCUCUUUUCAGUCUAGGCAUAUACAACGAAGCAACGUGCAUAAAACAAUUCUGGGCAGUAGAUAGCUGGAAAAGGCAGUCUAUGCCCAAUUCAAUCCUAAAUUUAUCUCAUUGGCCUCCCUGUUUCUUUCUUGUGAUGAUAAAAUUGGACAAUCACAAGAUCAAAGCGAAGCCAAAAUUAAGUUGCCCUAGACUGAAAAGAGAAUAUAACCUCUGUUCAGAGACAAAACAGUCAUACCAGACCUCCAAAAUCAGCCUCUUGCACACCAUCAGUAGGCCAAUAGCCACUGCUGGAUACGUUGUCUCUUAUGCAGCUCUAGUCCUCAAUCUGACUUAGGCAUAUGAGGAACAUUUCCUCAUGUGCCACAGAUUGUGCAUGGACAACUCAUUCUACAGUAAAUUGAACUGGCCAGAGAACUUGGCCUUGCAGGCUGCACAAGUAAAACCCAAUGAGCUUGCUUGUGCUUCAGAUUCUAGAGCCUCAUAAUGAAACUCAUUUCUGCACCAGACACAGACAUACAAAGUAGG